This 1867-nucleotide long non-coding RNA is filed under the name Salmo salar (Atlantic salmon). RNAcentral describes it as "lncRNA (ENSSSAG00000099512.1)". The record is from RNAcentral. Lineage: Eukaryota; Metazoa; Chordata; Actinopteri; Salmoniformes; Salmonidae.
AGUGAAAUGAUUGGUUACAGACGGCGAUAUGAUUGGUUGUCGCAACCAGGAAUUUCCUCCACUCACAAGUGUCAGGGGGGCCAAGCAGUAACCGAAAGGUUGCAGGAUCAAAUGAAGCUCAUGAUGAUGAGCUUUGUCCUCCUGAGGAGCUGAAGCACUGGAGCUUGCCUGGCCCUGAACAUGAAUUCUGCAGAGGACAGUUCUUCCUCUUCCACACAGAAGACCUCGGUCUGGGCCGACCAGCAAACAGCCACUCCACAGCUGGGAGUUAGCCCUCCGUCUCCCACACAGUGCUUUGGGGAUGGAGAAGGAACCAGCUCUGCUAACCCAUCUGAAACACCCAUUUCAACCAACCCUGCAACCCCAUCUGAAACACCAGUUUCAACCAACCCUUCUAGCCCAUCUCAAACACUUGUUUCACCCCAAAAAAAGAGGACAGCAGAGAAAGGAACCUUUGACGCAUCACAGCCACAGGGUGAACGUCGCAAGAGGGGGAGGCCACGCAAACACAAGAAACCCCAGACUGACACAGAACACCAGAUCCAUCAGGCCCAGUCCCCGACAGCUACACAUCCAUGUUUACAGCCAGAGGACCAAACAGAGGCUGUGACACUGACACCCAACUUACCUGUGAUACCUGAGGACAGGUGUCAGUCACCUGAUGCCCAAACAAAGGUUGAGACACAGCUCCAGUCACCCAGCUCACCUGUGCCUGAGGAUAAGUGCCAGUCACCUGAGGCCACCUUUGAACCACCAUGCCCCACCUUGGACUUACAGAGCACCAAUAAGGGACAGAGUAAGAACGGGCCCCAUCUCUCCAGUGCUUCUGUUGGACAAGGAGACCUAACAGGCCCUAAUGUUCUAACCACUGAUGGAUACACAUACUCACAGGCCAGGGAGAUGGGGGCUGAACCCAGCCAGAAUGACAGUAUCACUGCCACUGGGAUAUUUUUAAGCAAAUGUGCCAAAGGGCAAAGGACUCUGUGCCAGUCACCACAGAAUCUGAAAGAUGGGAGAAAGGCGGCUAAAAAAUCACAAAUUCAUAAGGUCGACCAGCAACAGGAGCGUGAGACUGUGACAAAUGGGGAAAAUACAUCUAAACCCUUACCGACUAUUAAGGUAGGACAGGAGAAUUGCCUGACACAAAAGACUGGGCGAAAAAGGAAAUAUACAAAAAAAUCACAGAGCCAUAAGGGAGACAAGCCACAGGAGACUGUGAGAAAUGGGAAAAAGACAACUAUGAAGUCACCAACUCAUCAGGUAGACCAGUCACAAGAGUUUGUAACAAAAAGGAAAAAGGUGUCUAAAAUAUCUUCAACCCACAAGGUAGACCACUCACAAGAAACUGUGAAAAAGAGGAAAUAUACAAAAAAAUCACAGACUCAGGAGGAGACUGGAAAAAAUACAUUGAUGAAAUCACUGACGAAUAAGGUAAACAAGGUGGCAUCGAAAAAAUCACAAAGCCAUACGGUAGAACAGUCACUGGGGAUUGACCAAUCACAAGAGACGGUGAGAAAGAGGAACUACACAAAAAAAUCACAGAAGCAUAAGGAUGACUCACAUGAGACUGUGAGAAAUGGGGAAAAGACAUCCAGAAAAUCACAGAAGCACAAGGUUGAGUUACGAGACACGGAACAGUCACAGGAGGAGACUGUAAAAAAAAGGAAAUAUACUAAGAAAUCAAAGACCCACAAGGUAGACUCAGGAGUCCUCUCAUUACUCCCUGUGUUAUCUGCAGACCUCUCCCCCAACCUUUCCUCUCCCACAUUCAGCCCUCCUGGGCUCCCAAAGAGAAAAUAUACCAAAAAAUCGCAGACCCUCAAGGUAGACUCAGAUGUCCCAUCCUCACUCAUUGUACUGUCUGCAG